Molecule: long non-coding RNA, 6925 nt
Organism: Acinonyx jubatus (cheetah)
Lineage: Eukaryota; Metazoa; Chordata; Mammalia; Carnivora; Felidae
Exons: 3
Source: RefSeq, a predicted model, not a curated record
UCUGAACUUCAUAGGCUAUCCCCUGAUGCUGUUCCCCUCUGAUGCUUUAUCAGCUCCCUGGGUAUUGUUAGCUUCUGUGGAAUAUGGUGGUGGCUAUCUGAUGUUUUCACCUGCUUGACAUGUUUCCCUUUCUUCCAGCCACUGCACUUUAAUUUCUCUUUGGGAAACCACUCCUCCCACCCCAUCCCACCCCACCCCUGGAAUAGAUGGAGUUAAUAAGUGAUUGACUAGCUCCUGACCCAAGAUUUAAGCCAAUCCUAAGCAAUGAAAGUCAGCCCCUGGGAUUCCUCUAUGGGAAUUCUGUCUGCUGAGCUUCAGCUUGGUGCACUGUAGACUCUCCUUAGUGGAUUAUCCUACAGAGAAAGAAUCUGACUGAGAAUGAAGCCAGCCCAGUAAGCAGCCGAGCCAUGAGAGAGCCCCAAAGACAUCAAGUCCUUCUGAGCAACAGAGUUCAGCCAUGCCUAAAGCUAGAUCCACAAUUUCAUGAGCCAUUAAGUUCUCCUCAACUGUCAGCCUAUUUAAAUUGGAGUCUAUCAUCGGAGUGAAAAAAAGUCCUGAUAUACCACAACUGGGGCAGCCAACAACCUCUGCCCUUCCCAGUCCAACGCUCUCUCUCUUCUUUUCCACACAGAUACUAUUACUAAGCCCUCAAGAAGAGCAGUAGCCAGGAAGUGGCUGUCUUGAAGGAGUUCCCACUUUCUUACCUGCCAUGCUGACUGCCUGCUGGGAAUAGGGUAAAGAAAAGUCAAAGUGAGGGUGAACAUGAACUAGCACCUCAAGGUGUCAAACUCCCACACAGAUCUCUUUCUCUGUCCUGCUUUCUUGCCUUCCUUUCCUAUCCAUUUGCUCUUCCUCCCCAGUAGUCUUGUUUCCAAGCCAAUUUAACACAUAAAUCACUUACGUUGUGCCCAAUACUGUUUGGAAUCAGAAAACAUCACCUCAGCCCUUGGAAAGCUCAGGUGUAAUGAAAGAGAAUUUGGAGCCGGGACAGCGUCAGUGAGGGAGCCUGGGGCCAGAGGACAAAGGGCAGAAAAAGUCAACACUUUGAAUUUGAAGCAGGUGAUGAUGCCAUUGAAUGAGUCCCUUCAGGGAAGAGGAGGGGCUGGCAUGGAUAAUGGGGAGAUGAGAGUCAAGUCAGAUGAGAGACCGCUAGGCUCAGGAUUCUGAAGAAAGAGACUUGAGGGUCCAUUACAUUAUAGAACGUUUUUGUUAAAUAAUGCCUGAGAGGUGAUCUGACACAGGUAAAUCCUUUUAUUUCUUUUAGGUAAAAUUAAAUCCAACCGUACACCUCAAUUUCACAGUUUAGUAAACGAAAGAACGAAGCCAGUAGUUCCCACAACAGGCAGGGGCCAUGCAUGUCCCCAAGAUCCUUCAGGGCCUGCCAACCAGAAGAAUGGGCUCUUACCUGUCUCAUUAAUUCUGCUUACUCAUGAGAUUUUUAAAAACAAAAAUCGAAAUAAGUUUGAAAACCCAAGGAUUAGUUUCCUUCCCAUGCAAGUACUAAUAUUUCUUCCUUCUUUUGAGCCCCAUCUGCCCCGCACCCCCCACCUCCCCAAAACGUGGAUCUAAAUUCUCUCUUCUGGUUCCCUACCCCUCACUGUACCCCAAGACUCAGAACCCAGAUCUCUGCUUUUUUCCCCACAGUCUCCUUUGCUGCCUUUAGGACAUCACCUCUCGUUUCUGAGCCAAAGACACCCAGAUGUGUCAGUUCAGCCUGACGUCUAUCUUGUGCAGGACCUUUCUGCCUGGAUGCUCCGCCCACAGCUCCUCCAUGAGAAGGAACGAGAAGAAAUCAGAGUGACCCCGCUCAGCAGAAAAAUCAUCCUGGUGGAAAACCACCAGUAGUGGCAGCCACUGGAUGGCUGGAAAUACUGCCAUCAUUAUUACCUUCUUUUUGCUUGACGGGACCUCUUUUAAUGUAAUGAACCCCAGCUGAUUUUAUAAAAAUAACAAUAAUUUUAAGCCAAAUAUGGUAAAAUAGAAACAAAAAUUACCUGGAACAUUUCAGUGUUGAAAUGCUUCCCCCCCCCCCCAACCUGUUUUGCUUAUCCAGGAAUGUGUUCAUAAAAUUUUGGAAUUGGGAAAAAUUGAGUAUUACAAGUUACCCGUUCACAUUUGAAAAGUUUUUGUGCAUAAGAUGAAACACCUUUUAUAAUUUAUUUAAGCAAUCCACUCUUGUUAGAUUUUGAGUUGUUUCCAACUGAACUCCUAUUGUUGGACAUUUUGGUUGCUUCCAACUUGGCCCCGACAAACCAACACAGAGCCAGAAUAACUGGUUGAAAAUAAAUUACAAUAAAGGAGAGGGGAGAAAGGAGGAAAAUGACUGGAGAAAUCCUGGAAAGAUGGGCCAAAUUGCUUAAAGAAAUAAAAGUUUUUAAAAAUGCCCUUUUGUGCACAAAAUUUGCCAACAUUUGUAAGGCAAAAGAAAAAAACACAAAACCAACAGUGAUUAGAGAUUAUUCAUUUUCUUUUUUAAUGUUUAUUUUUGAGAGAGAGACAGACAGAGAGAGAGGGAGACACAAAAUCCAAAGCAGCUCCAGGCUCUGAGUUGUCAGCACAGAGCCUGAUGUGGGGCUCGAACUCAAGAACGGAGAGAUCACGACCUGAGCCGAAGUCAGAUGCUCAACCAACUGAGCCCCCCCAGGCGCCCCAUAGAUUAUUCAUUUUCAAGCAAAUUAUUAUUAUUUUUAGAGAAUGGCUCCACUAAGUUAUUUUAAACAAAGUCACGUGCAUGUCCUCCGCUGGACCAAUGCUUAUGUAGCCAAUUAGGUUGUUCGUGAUCGUCCAGUGUUAUAAACUGCAAGAGGGUUUAUAUUAACGUUUGCGAGAUUGCCUUCUAAAACCCAGUGCUUUUCUCCCAGAUCUGGUGGUGGUCCGGAUCUGUUCCUGACUGGUCCACCGACAAUGCAACAUCUCACUGGGUCUCAUUCCCAGCCCCUUCUCCUCUGCGUUGCUCAGCACCCCCGCGGUGGCCUGUGCUAAAGGGGCAGGAACAGUAGCUGUCUGGGCUCUGACAUCCAAAGCUUGUCUGGUACCUGUGAGAAAUGGAAAGCCACUCUAAAAAUAAGUUGUUUCCUCCUGCUCCCAAUCCCUCCUCAAAACAGUAAGAGGAUGUUUCAGAGUUUUCAAAUGGAAAUGGUCACAGCAGCCAGAGGCCAUGGUCUUGACUUUGACAAGCCUUAACCUGUCUUCCUCUAGUCCUCUGAAACAGGACCGAGUUCAGAACGAGAAAUUAAAAGAAGACCCGCCACAUAGAUUUGUCCAUAAUGCCACUCUUAGAGUCCCAUUUCCAAGGGAGACAAAUUCACUUCUGGCACCUGAAGUUGCUUAUCUGGUUCCUCAGAGCUGCAACAUUGAAUUCGCUCCCAGGUAUGAAUCAAACCAUCAAAUAUUCUUUAUAUCUGCUGCCAGGAACAAAGGUGAAAACCAGCUCAGGUGAGUGCCUCACAAUAUACUCUAUGCUUCAAGAAAACUACAGCCUGUCUUACCUCUUCACUAGACAGCGUAUUAUUUUUCUUUUAUAUAUGUAUGCUUUGUCGGAACCAUCUGAAAGUUUCAGACACAGUGACACUCACCCCUAAAUACUUCGGCAACCAUCUACCACAAGGGACAUCCGCCAAUACCACAACAGAAUUAUCACACGGAGGAAAGCUAACAUUAAUUUAAUAACAUCUGGUGUGCAGUCCAUAUUCAAAUACCACAAGAGUCUUAUAAAAUUUAUUUUUUAUCACUUAAAAACAUUUCAUCCUAUAGCUGUGGUUCAUCACUGCCUUUGGUUGUUAUGUCUCUUGCAGCCUCAAGAAAUUCUAACUUAGAAUAGUCCCUCUAGCUUUUGGUUUUGUCUUGUUUGUCUGUUUUACAUUACUUGAUUAAAAAAUUUUUUUUAACGUUUAUUAAUUAUUGAGAGAGAGCAAGGGUGAGUAGGGGAGGGACAGAGAGAGGGAGACAGAGGAUCCGAAGCAGGCUCCAUACUGUGAGCACAGAGCCCAAUGUGGGCUUCGAACUCAUGACCGUGAAACCAUGACCUGAGCCGAAAUCAGGAGUCAGCCAUUUAACUGACUCAGCCACCCAGGCGCCCAUUACUUGAUUUCUUUUUCAUUCACACCAAUUGUCUUGUAGAAUCUCCCACAUCCUAGAUUUGUCUGGCUCUUCCCUGGUGACUAGAUUCAGGUGAGACAUUUUGGGCUAGACAUCUGUCCGAGUGAUGGAGGCUGUACUUUCUGCAUUGUAUCAGAAGGCAGGCAACAUUCGGCUGUCCCAAUGCUAAGUUUGUUCACUCUGUGGCCAACUUCUUCUUAAAACAUAAAAUUAAACCACACAUGAACAAAUCUAUAUUUUCUAAUUGCCUCUCUGCGAUGAAAGCCCAGUGUAUCUUACAAAGCAAUCUUCCUGCACAACUUUUAAAAAAUUCAGCCCUAAGUCACAAGGCUUCUCCUUUCCUGUGAAGCGGGUGUUUGAAAAGCCUGUGAACUCAUACUGGUUAUCUUUCACAGAAUCUGGAAUUUCUCUUACCAAGACCAAAACCAAAUCAAGCAAAAGCAGCACCUUGCAAACCGAAAAACCCAGUCUUCACAGGGUAUGAGUUUUCAAGCCGAGGUUCCAAAGUGAGACAGAUUGCUCAGGACAGGAGGCAGUGGGGUGGCAAAUGUGGCCUCUGUCCUUGGUCUAGAGGGUCACCGGCCACCUCGCCCAGGCUCCCGUCACUCACAUGAUGGGAAUCCUGCAUGCGCUGCCUGGGCAAGCCCAACCGGGAGACCCAGAGCUGGAUGCUGCUUCUGUUUUGGAAAUCAAUUCAGGGGCACCUGGGUGGUUCAGUCGGUUAAGCGUCGACUCUUGAUUUCGGUGCAGGUCACGAUCUCACAGUUCGUGGGCUUGAGCACCGCGUCGGGCACUCUGCUGUCAGCGCAGAGCCUGCUUCAGAUAUUGUCCCCGCCUCUUUCUGCCCCUUCCCCACUCAUGUGCACUCUCCAAAAUAAAUAAACAUGAAAGAAAGAAAGAAGAAAGAAAGAAAGAAAGAAAGAAAGAAAGAAAGAAAGAAAGAAAGAAAGAAAGAUCAGUUCAACAGACUUCACUCCUGCCUGCUGAGAAACAAGGUAACUUCUAGAUCCAGAAUAGUCUGUGGACUUGCACCGAGCUGUUAUCUUUGUAUUAAGAAGACCUGGAGGGAGCGAGAGGAAAAGGAGAUUAUUUUCAAUGCACUCUGAAAUGGCUAGAAUCCUUGUUGAAAUUUUAGACUUACAGAACCAUUUUCAGGAAGAGACGUAAUUUGUCUGCAUCAGUCUGAGUGAGUGUGUCUUAUGAUUUUGAAUCUGAUCAGAGCUUUUGAUGAUCGACUAUGCAGGGGAGAUGGUUCCUGUUUGGGGAGAAAUCCCCAGACUUCCAGCAUCGUUUCCUAAAUGCAGACCUAGUUCUGUCAAACUUGAUGGAUAUUUCAGUCCCCACAGCUUCUUAUUGCUGCUUUUCAUUUUGCGGAGAUGCUCAGCUGAUAAGAAAAUGGGCUGAACAUUCAAUCGAUAAUAGUGACAUAAAUAGUCUCUGGUUGUAUAAAUAAAGCUGCUUUUACCUGAGCGAUGUUUUCAACCUCUGGCAGCAGCAACUUUAGCAAAUGCCCGUUUGGGAAAUACCCCCAAUAAAUAUUAAAUUUGAAAAGAGUUUUGUGAACCGAAGACUCCCCGCAUGAAAUCACAGAAGGCAGAUCUUAUUUAAAAUCGGUUUUCAGCUGCCGUUUCUGGUUGCAAGGUAAUGAAUUGUCCUACUAAUUGAACUUGAAGUUCACCUUUCAAUUAUGAAGCAAAUUGCAGAACCCAAGGACAGGCAGGUAAAAGUGAAAUGAUGAGCAGUCAUGUUGAAACUAAGACACCCUUUGUUCCAUCAUCUGUGGGCACAAGAGCUUUCUAUCCUUUGGAAAUGCCCCUGGCAGUGUCUGAGAGCGUAGAAAUCUCAGAGCAUCUCAGGGGUGUGCCUAGGGAGAGAGAGAAUACAAGAGAGGGAGAGAGAGAGUCUUCUUUCACUGCAUUUCCCUUUAUUUUCUUUUAUUACAUGAGAAAACGGUCUUCAUGUGACAGCAUAAAUUAAAGACGCUUGAGUUUGCUCCCUUCGGUGUUGACUCUGAGGGAAGCUGAACAGAGUGGUGGUAAAUAACUAUAUAAUUGAAAUCGCCUUGCUUUGUUGUUACCUUAGAAGGGGACUGUUGUGUAGAGGCUUCAGAUUUAUUGAGAUAGAUUACACCCCUGGGUGUAAAUCACUUUGUAAAAGUAAAUCAGGCAGUUUCCAUAAUUCCCUUAGGCCUCUGGGGUACAGUUUAAUACACUAAGCCAUAAUUUACUAUUAAGGGGGACCCUUGGGGUGACUUUUUCCUGGGGAAUCAUCUUCUCCCUGGGAGACCCGCUUAUGAUGCUACUAUAAAGAAGCCUCCCUGUCUUCUCUCUGCCCUGGCCAUCUCAUGUCAUAUGUCCAAAUGGGGAACGUUCCGACUCCCGGUUUGGAAGGCAGAAAGUUGGGUCUUAUGUUUCUGGCACAAGGAGACAUUAUUGCCUGGAACACGAGGAGAUACCACAUGAAGGAUGCCAUCUCUCUCAGCCCUGGAUCCAGGAGGAUUUGCCCCCCUUCCAUCAGCUGGGCUUUAUUUGGAAAGGCCAGCCUGGGACCUUGGCACUCCGUUUCAUUAUGAGGUUUUGAAUAGCAGACACUGUUUCCUUAAAAGAUGACAAGAAUUCCACAAACAAUGGCAGUCGGUGGAACCUAAUAUGCAAGAGAGGAUUUGGGUGGUUCAAGGUGAAAUUAAAUCAUCUGUGUAGAUUCCCACAUCCCCAUCCUCGAAGCCGGUUGGAGAUGAUCUGAUCUCCCAACACUGCAGGGCUCAAGGCUGCCUGCGGCAAUUCCUGUGCCUUUUUAGCUCCAUCCAAAAUAAACCUCGCUCAAAACC